Trichonephila clavata is the source of this 144-nucleotide non-coding RNA. Lineage: Eukaryota; Metazoa; Arthropoda; Arachnida; Araneae; Nephilidae. The record is from the annotation of a GenBank genome assembly.
CCAGUGGAUCACUUGGCUCACAGGCUUAUGAAAAGUGCAGCCAGCUGCAAGAUUUGGUGUGAAUUGCAGGACACUCAGAUCACUGAUAUUUCGAACAUGCAUUGUAGCUCCGACUCUGUGUUGGAGGCUUGCCAAUCUGAGGGU